Molecule: ribosomal RNA, 465 nt
Filed under: uncultured bacterium
Lineage: Bacteria
Description: partial 16S ribosomal RNA
Rfam family: Bacterial small subunit ribosomal RNA
Source: RNAcentral
GACGAACGCUGGCGGCGUGCUUAACACAUGCAAGUCGAACGGAAAGGCCCUGCUUGCAGGGUACUCGAGUGGCGAACGGGUGAGUAACACGUGGGUGUUCUGCCCUGCACUUCGGGGUAAGCCUUGGGAACUGGGUCUAAUAUCGGAUAGGAGCCCUCCUUAGUGUGAUGGUUGGAAAGUUUUUUCGGUGUAGGAUGAGCUCGCGGGCUAUCAGCUUGUUGGUGGGGUAAUGGCCUACCAAGGCGGCGACGGGUAGCCGGCCUGGGAGGGUGGACGGCCACCAUGGGAAUGAGAUACGGCCCCGAAUCCUACGGGGGGGAGCAGGGGGGGAAAUUGGACCAUGGGGGCGAGGCUGAUGCCGGGAACGCGCGGGGCGGGAGGAGGGCUUUGGGUUGUAAACUCGCUUCCCCAGGGAACAAGCCGUGUGUGACGGUAACGAGAAAAGAAGCACCGGCUAACUACGUG